Molecule: ribosomal RNA, 503 nt
Filed under: uncultured bacterium
Lineage: Bacteria
Description: partial 16S ribosomal RNA
Rfam family: Bacterial small subunit ribosomal RNA
Source: RNAcentral
AUUGAACGCUGGCGGCAGGCUUAACACAUGCAAGUCGAGCGGAGUGAUGGUGCUUGCACUAUCACUUAGCGGCGGACGGGUGAGUAAUGCUUAGGAAUCUGCCUAUUAGUGGGGGACAACAUCUCGAAAGGGAUGCUAAUACCGCAUACGUCCUACGGGAGAAAGCAGGGGAUCACUUGUGACCUUGCGCUAAUAGAUGAGCCUAAGUCGGAUUAGCUAGUUGGUGGGGUAGAGGCCUACCAAGGCGACGAUCUGUAGCGGGUCUGAGAGGAUGAUCCGCCACACUGGGACUGAGACACGGCCCAGACUCCUACGGGAGGCAGCAGUGGGGAAUAUUGGACAAUGGGGGGAACCCUAAUCCAGCCAUGCCGCGUGUGUGAAGAAGGCCUUAUGGUUGUAAAGCACUUUAAGCGAGGAGGAGGCUCUUUUGGUUAAUACCCAAGAUGAGUGGACGUUACUCGCAGAAUAAGCACCGGCUAACUCUGUGCCAGCCGCCGCGGUAA